UGGCGCACGGGUGAGGAACACGUAGCUGACCUGCCCUCCAGCGGGGGAUAACGUCCCGAAAGGGAUGCUAAGACCGCAUAAGCUCACGUUCUCUAGAGGGAUGUGAGAAAAAACUUCGGUUACUGGAGGAGGGGGCUGCGGCCCAUCAGGUAGUUGGGGGGGUAACGGCCCACCAAGCCAACGACGGGUCGGGGAUCUGAGAGGAUGAUCCCCCACACUGGGACUGAGACACGGCCCAGACUCCUACGGGAGGCAGCAGUGAGGGAUAUUGCACAAUGGGCGAAAGCCUGAUGCAGCGACGCCGCGUGGGUGAUGAAGGUCUUCGGAUCGUAAAGCCCUUUUCUGUGUGACGAGCAAGGACGGUAGCACAGGAAGAAGUCUCGGCUAACUACGUGCCAGCAGCCGCGGUAAAACGUAGGAGGCAAGCGUCAUCCGGAGUUACUGGGCGUAAAGCGUGUGUAGGUGGUUCUUCAAGUUCGGUGUGAAAGCCCCCGGCUUAACUGGGGGAGGACAUUGAAGACUGAAGGGCUAGAGGGUGGUAGAGGGGCGUAGAAUUCCGGGUGUAGCGGUGAAAUGUGUAGAGAUCCGGAGGAAUACCAGUGGUGCAGACGGCGCCCUGGGCCAUACCUGACACUGAGACACGAAAGCGUGGGGAGCGAACGGGAUUAGAGACCCCGGUAGUCCACGCCGUAAACGAUGCGAACUAGGUGCGCACGGUCCGCAGGGGCAGGGCGUGCCGCAGCUAACGCGCUAAGUUCGCCGCCUGGGGAGUACGGUCGCAAGGCUAAAACUCAAGGAAUUGACGGGGGCCCGCACAAGCAGCGGAGCGUGUGGUUUAAUUCG
RNAcentral lists this ribosomal RNA (843 nucleotides) under uncultured bacterium. RNAcentral's name for it is "bacterial SSU rRNA". It matches the Rfam family "Bacterial small subunit ribosomal RNA", at positions 96 to 953 of the family's 1533-position model. The record is from RNAcentral.